GUACAGAUAGAAGCGACCGAGAGGAGGGGCGCUAGCUUGGUCAGUUGGCCCGAGAAGCUCCAGCUCGUACUCCGGAGGAACUCCAUACUGAAUCCUUAUCAGUGAGAGUUCAUCCAGAGUCAAAGAGCUGGGGAUGGUGUCCAGCGCAAAGACCAGACGAGGUUCGGUCCUAACUACGGGUUCGUUUACGAUACAAGGACUUUGGGGAACUGGGGCUGACGAACUCCUAAAAUCGCUAGAAGAGGAGAUAUCAGAAGACAUUUUCGAUCAAAUGGAAGCCACAAAAAUCUCAAAAAAAAUCAAAAAAAAUAGCAAACAAGCUCUCGAGGAAGCUAAAUGAACGGAAUAUACAGAAAAAUGAUAAGAAGUUCCGAAACUAACCUAGGUUGGCCCAAGGAGUGUAGGA
RNAcentral lists this long non-coding RNA (406 nucleotides) under Elaeis guineensis (African oil palm). RNAcentral's name for it is "long non-coding RNA (EGUI_LNC062389)". Lineage: Eukaryota; Viridiplantae; Streptophyta; Magnoliopsida; Arecales; Arecaceae. The record is from RNAcentral.